Molecule: ribosomal RNA, 500 nt
Filed under: uncultured bacterium
Lineage: Bacteria
Description: bacterial SSU rRNA
Rfam family: Bacterial small subunit ribosomal RNA
Source: RNAcentral
UGGGGAAUCUUGGACAAUGGGGGCAACCCUGAUCCAGCCAUGCCGCGUGAGUGAUGAAGGCCUUAGGGUCGUAAAGCUCUUUCGCCUGUGAAGAUAAUGACGGUAGCAGGUAAAGAAACCCCGGCUAACUCCGUGCCAGCAGCCGCGGUAAUACGGAGGGGGCUAGCGUUGUUCGGAAUUACUGGGCGUAAAGCGCACGUAGGCGGACCAGAAAGUUGGGGGUGAAAUCCCGGGGCUCAACCCCGGAACUGCCUCCAAAACUAUUGGUCUAGAGUUCGAGAGAGGUGAGUGGAAUUCCAAGUGUAGAGGUGAAAUUCGUAGAUAUUUGGAGGAACACCAGUGGCGAAGGCGGCUCACUGGCUCGAUACUGACGCUGAGGUGCGAAAGUGUGGGGAGCAAACAGGAUUAGAUACCCUGGUAGUCCACACCGUAAAACGAUGGAAUGCCCAAGUCGUCGGGGUAGCAUGCUAUUCGGUGACACACCUAACGGAUUAAGCAUU